Molecule: unclassified non-coding RNA, 576 nt
Filed under: Ceratitis capitata (Mediterranean fruit fly)
Lineage: Eukaryota; Metazoa; Arthropoda; Insecta; Diptera; Tephritidae
Description: uncharacterized LOC110117896, transcript variant X3
Source: RNAcentral
CCACAGAUCAGCUCUUCCAGAAUCGUUUUCUUUCGAAAUAAAAUUAACUUUUGUAUAUAUAUUUGACAACUCAGGCAACUGUUUUUGGCCUGUUGUACUCAACGCUCCACGCAACUUCAGUCUGACCAGUGCUGUCAAUGAGGGUUUGUAUUUAUAGUCCAGUCACUCUUCGAUGUUAUCAAAAAUCUGCAUCUAAACUGAUUUUCGGAGGUAACACGAUUAACUCUGCAGCCGCAGUCUGGCGUACGUCAAUGAGUUGAACAGCAAGGACAUGUGUGCGCAGUGAUGGUCUGGCUCAAGGGUCUGCAAUGCAAAAGAAGCAAAUGUGUAUAUUCCAUGUACAUGUAAUGAAAAAGGGUUUUGACUUUGCAAAUCGCAAAAGAAACAAAUGCAGCUUGUUUAAGCGCAUAGUUUUUCUUGGAAAUAUCACAAAAUAUACAUACAAAAGAGAAGGUGAAAGGGCAGAGUAAAAAGGCCUUCGCAAAGUGAGCUUAAUUACUUAAAGCUUAUGCUAACGGAUUUGUAAAUAUACCUUUUGUUGUUUUGUUUUCCUAAACACCUGCUGUUUUGUUGUUU